AUUAAACGCUGGCGGCAUGCCUUACACAUGCAAGUCGAACGGCAGCACGGGGGCAACCCUGGUGGCGAGUGGCGAACGGGUGAGUAAAGCAUCGGAACGUGCCCUGGAGUGGGGGAUAACGUAGCGAAAGUUACGCUAAUACCGCAUAUUCUGUGAGCAGGAAAGCAGGGGAUCGCAAGACCUUGCGCUCUGGGAGCGGCCGAUGUCGGAUUAGCUAGUUGGUGGGGUAAAGGCCUACCAAGGCGACGAUCCGUAGCGGGUCUGAGAGGAUGAUCCGCCACACUGGGACUGAGACACGGCCCAGACUCCUACGGGAGGCAGCAGUGGGGAAUUUUGGACAAUGGGCGAAAGCCUGAUCCAGCCAUGCCGCGUGAGUGAAGAAGGCCUC
Molecule: ribosomal RNA, 388 nt
Filed under: uncultured bacterium
Lineage: Bacteria
Description: bacterial SSU rRNA
Rfam family: Bacterial small subunit ribosomal RNA
Source: RNAcentral